GCCUGAAUCAGUGUGUGUGUUAGUGGAAGCGUCUGGAAAGGCGCGCGAUACAGGGUGACAGCCCCGUACACAAAAAUGCACAUACUGUGAGCUCGAUGAGUAGGGCGGGACACGUGGUAUCCUGUCUGAAUAUGGGGGGACCAUCCUCCAAGGCUAAAUACUCCUGACUGACCGAUAGUGAACCAGUACCGUGAGGGAAAGGCGAAAAGAACCCCGGCGAGGGGAGUGAAAAAGAACCUGAAACCGUGUACGUACAAGCAGUGGGAGCCUCUUUAUGGGGUGACUGCGUACCUUUUGUAUAAUGGGUCAGCGACUUAUAUUCUGUAGCAAGGUUAACCGAAUAGGGGAGCCGAAGGGAAACCGAGUCUUAACUGGGCGUUAAGUUGCAGGGUAUAGACCCGAAACCCGGUGAUCUAGCCAUGGGCAGGUUGAAGGUUGGGUAACACUAACUGGAGGACCGAACCGACUAAUGUUGAAAAAUUAGCGGAUGACUUGUGGCUGGGGGUGAAAGGCCAAUCAAACCGGGAGAUAGCUGGUUCUCCCCGAAAGCUAUUUAGGUAGCGCCUCGUGAAUUCAUCUCCGGGGGUAGAGCACUGUUUCGGCAAGGGGGUCAUCCCGACUUACCAACCCGAUGCAAACUGCGAAUACCGGAGAAUGUUAUCACGGGAGACACACGGCGGGUGCUAACGUCCGUCGUGAAGAGGGAAACAACCCAGACCGCCAGCUAAGGUCCCAAAGUCAUGGUUAAGUGGGAAACGAUGUGGGAAGGCCCAGACAGCCAGGAUGUUGGCUUAGAAGCAGCCAUCAUUUAAAGAAAGCGUAAUAGCUCACUGGUCGAGUCGGCCUGCGCGGAAGAUGUAACGGGGCUAAACCAUGCACCGAAGCUGCGGCAGCGACACUAUGUGUUGUUGGGUAGGGGAGCGUUCUGUAAGCCUGCGAAGGUGUACUGUGAGGUAUGCUGGAGGUAUCAGAAGUGCGAAUGCUGACAUAAGUAACGAUAAAGCGGGUGAAAAGCCCGCUCGCCGGAAGACCAAGGGUUCCUGUCCAACGUUAAUCGGGGCAGGGUGAGUCGACCCCUAAGGCGAGGCCGAAAGGCGUAGUCGAUGGGAAACAGGUUAAUAUUCCUGUACUUGGUGUUACUGCGAAGGGGGGACGGAGAAGGCUAUGUUGGCCGGGCGACGGUUGUCCCGGUUUAAGCGUGUAGGCUGGUUUUCCAGGCAAAUCCGGAAAAUCAAGGCUGAGGCGUGAUGACGAGGCACUACGGUGCUGAAGCAACAAAUGCCCUGCUUCCAGGAAAAGCCUCUAAGCAUCAGGUAACAUUAAAUCGUACCCCAAACCGACACAGGUGGUCAGGUAGAGAAUACCAAGGCGCUUGAGAGAACUCGGGUGAAGGAACUAGGCAAAAUGGUGCCGUAACUUCGGGAGAAGGCACGCUGAUAUGUAGGUGAAGCGACUUGCUCGUGGAGCUGAAAUCAGUCGAAGAUACCAGCUGGCUGCAACUGUUUAUUAAAAACACAGCACUGUGCAAACACGAAAGUGGACGUAUACGGUGUGACGCCUGCCCGGUGCCGGAAGGUUAAUUGAUGGGGUUAGCGGUAACGCGAAGCUCUUGAUCGAAGCCCCGGUAAACGGCGGCCGUAACUAUAACGGUCCUAAGGUAGCGAAAUUCCUUGUCGGGUAAGUUCCGACCUGCACGAAUGGCGUAAUGAUGGCCAGGCUGUCUCCACCCGAGACUCAGUGAAAUUGAACUCGCUGUGAAGAUGCAGUGUACCCGCGGCAAGACGGAAAGACCCCGUGAACCUUUACUAUAGCUUGACACUGAACAUUGAGCCUUGAUGUGUAGGAUAGGUGGGAGGCUUUGAAGUGUGGACGCCAGUCUGCAUGGAGCCGGCCUUGAAAUACCACCCUUUAAUGUUUGAUGUUCUAACGUUGGCCCCUGACCGGGGUUGCGGACAGUGUCUGGUGGGUAGUUUGACUGGGGCGGUCUCCUCCUAAAGAGUAACGGAGGAGCACGAAGGUUGGCUAAUCCUGGUCGGACAUCAGGAGGUUAGUGCAAUGGCAUAAGCCAGCUUGACUGCGAGCGUGACGGCGCGAGCAGGUGCGAAAGCAGGUCAUAGUGAUCCGGUGGUUCUGAAUGGAAGGGCCAUCGCUCAACGGAUAAAAGGUACUCCGGGGAUAACAGGCUGAUACCGCCCAAGAGUUCAUAUCGACGGCGGUGUUUGGCACCUCGAUGUCGGCUCAUCACAUCCUGGGGCUGAAGUAGGUCCCAAGGGUAUGGCUGUUCGCCAUUUAAAGUGGUACGCGAGCUGGGUUUAGAACGUCGUGAGACAGUUCGGUCCCUAUCUGCCGUGGGCGCUGGAGAACUGAGGGGGGCUGCUCCUAGUACGAGAGGACCGGAGUGGACGCAUCACUGGUGUUCGGGUUGUCAUGCCAAUGGCACUGCCCGGUAGCUAAAUGCGGAAGAGAUAAGUGCUGAAAGCAUCUAAGCACGAAACUUGCCCCGAGAUGAGUUCUCCCUGACUCCUUGA
This 2528-nucleotide ribosomal RNA is filed under the name Escherichia coli. Its description in RNAcentral is "bacterial LSU rRNA". It matches the Rfam family "Bacterial large subunit ribosomal RNA", at positions 308 to 2826 of the family's 2925-position model. The record is from RNAcentral. Lineage: Bacteria; Pseudomonadati; Pseudomonadota; Gammaproteobacteria; Enterobacterales; Enterobacteriaceae.